UACGAAGGGUGCUAGCGUUGUUCGGAAUUACUGGGCGUAAAGCGCGCGUAGGCGGCUUGUCAAGUCAGGGGUGAAAUCCCACAGCUUAACUGUGGAACUGCCCUUGAAACUGUCAAGCUAGAGUGUCGGAGGGGAUAGCGGAAUUGCUAAUGUAGAGGUGAAAUUCGUAGAUAUUAGCAGGAACACCGGUGGCGAAGGCGGCUAUCUGGACGACAACUGACGCUGAGGCGCGAAAGCGUGGGGAUCAAACAGG
RNAcentral lists this ribosomal RNA (253 nucleotides) under uncultured bacterium. RNAcentral's name for it is "partial 16S ribosomal RNA". It matches the Rfam family "Bacterial small subunit ribosomal RNA", at positions 524 to 776 of the family's 1533-position model. The record is from RNAcentral.